This is a long non-coding RNA of Carassius auratus (goldfish), 702 nucleotides long. RefSeq lists it as uncharacterized. The record is from RefSeq and is a predicted model, not a curated record. NCBI's taxonomy places the organism in Eukaryota, Metazoa, Chordata, Actinopteri, Cypriniformes, Cyprinidae. The transcript has 2 exons.
AAACUCCCCUCCUGCACCGCAUAAGCACAAACUCUGCCCACAGAAAACAUCUCUGCAAGGAGAAAAAGAAGGCAUAAUCAUGAAUAAAAUACUGGCAUUGUGCAUCGGGUUACUGAUUAUAACCUUACCCUUUUCAUCUCAGGAGGGAAAUAUUUCAACCAAAGCAACUCCAUCUUCAGCCAAGCCUCCACCCAGUGCUGCAGGAUUGGGUCCGCUGCCCACCGUGAUGUGCCUUCUGAUCCCAGCAGUCACCGUGGGCUUCAUCCACAGUAGAUCCUAAACUGGCUGGAGAAUAUUCAGAUGACCAAGAGGAGCAAAGAUAGAUAGCCAGUCACAUGAAGACCACACUUCCCAAAAUUCUUGAAGAUAUAAGACACAAGAACAGCUCAAUAAGAAGAUGCCACAACGAAUCAACAUUUUUUAAAUAAUAAUAAUAAAAACUGGGAUUUAAAAGAAAAUAUCCACUGUAUACUGAACCAAGGAUCCUCCAAAGCCCAAAGAAACCACACCAUCAAACUCUGUUGCGUUUUAGUAUUUUACUUUAAAUUGGACUCAUCAGUUGCAACAUCUUGUGAAAGACUGUAUGUAUCUGAUCACUGUAAUCCACCUUCUCCAAAAUAUUUUUGCACUAACUGUGAUGAAAUAUUAAUUGUAAUGAAUACGAAUAUGUCUAAAUGCACAAUUAAAGUGGAUGACUGUUAA